CCAGACUCCUACGGGAGGCAGCAGUGGGGAAUAUUGGACAAUGGGGGGAACCCUGAUCCAGCGACGCCGCGUGAGUGAAGAAGUAUUUCGGUAUGUAAAGCUCUAUCAGCAGGGAAGAAAGAAAUGACGGUACCUGACUAAGAAGCCCCGGCUAACUACGUGCCAGCAGCCGCGGUAAUACGUAGGGGGCAAGCGUUAUCCGGAUUUACUGGGUGUAAAGGGAGCGUAGACGGCGAUGCAAGCCAGAUGUGAAAGCCCGGGGCUCAACCCCGGGACUGCUCUGGGAACUGUGCGGCUGGAGUGCGGGAGGGGCAGGCGGAAGUCCUGGUGUAGCGGUGAAAUGCGUAGAUAUCAGGAGGAACACCGGCGGCGAAGGCGGCCUGCUGGACCGCGACUGACGUUGAGGCUCGAAAGCGUGGGGAGCAAACAGGAUUAGAUACCCCAGUAAGG
This 450-nucleotide ribosomal RNA is filed under the name uncultured bacterium. RNAcentral's name for it is "bacterial SSU rRNA". It matches the Rfam family "Bacterial small subunit ribosomal RNA", at positions 331 to 793 of the family's 1533-position model. The record is from RNAcentral.